GAAAGUCCUGCUCCUUCAGCCGCUUGCGCUGAGGCUCCCACUCGGCGCCGAGAUCGAGCCCGAUGGCAUGAAGCAGUGACGGGUCUGGGAGAUUGCGGUAGCUGUCGUCGGCGAAGAACUCGAUCGGCGGCGAGAUCUGGGGGGAGAUAUUCCUGAAAGGAUCGGACUGCUGGAGCUGCUGCUGCUGGAGCUUGAGCUGGAGGUGGGGGUGAUUUGGG
RNAcentral lists this unclassified non-coding RNA (218 nucleotides) under Hevea brasiliensis (rubber tree). The record is from RNAcentral. Lineage: Eukaryota; Viridiplantae; Streptophyta; Magnoliopsida; Malpighiales; Euphorbiaceae.